CAGCAGCAGCCGCGGUAAUACGAAGGGGGCUAGCGUUGUUCGGAUUUACUGGGCGUAAAGCGCACGUAGGCGGACUUUUAAGUCAGGGGUGAAAUCCCGGGGCUCAACCCCGGAACUGCCUUUGAUACUGGAAGUCUUGAGUAUGGUAGAGGUGAGUGGAAUUCCGAGUGUAGAGGUGAAAUUCGUAGAUAUUCGGAGGAACACCAGUGGCGAAGGCGGCUCACUGGACCAUUACUGACGCUGAGGUGCGAAAGCGUGGGGAGCAAACAGGAUUAGAUACCCCAGUAGUCCCUGUCUCUUAUAC
RNAcentral lists this ribosomal RNA (304 nucleotides) under uncultured bacterium. Its description in RNAcentral is "partial 16S ribosomal RNA". It matches the Rfam family "Bacterial small subunit ribosomal RNA", at positions 506 to 807 of the family's 1533-position model. The record is from RNAcentral.